This 795-nucleotide ribosomal RNA is filed under the name uncultured archaeon. Its description in RNAcentral is "bacterial SSU rRNA". It matches the Rfam family "Archaeal small subunit ribosomal RNA", at positions 85 to 879 of the family's 1478-position model. The record is from RNAcentral.
ACUGCUCAGUAACACGUGGAUAACCUGCCCUUGGGUCCGGCAUAACCCCGGGAAACUGGGGAUAAUUCCGGAUAACGCACAUAUGCUGGAAUGCUUUAUGCGUAAAAUGGAUUCGUCUGCCCAAGGAUGGGUCUGCGGCCUAUCAGGUAGUAGUGGGUGUAAUGUACCUACUAGCCAACAACGGGUACGGGUUGUGAGAGCAAGAGCCCGGAGAUGGAUUCUGAGACAUGAAUCCAGGCCCUACGGGGCGCAGCAGGCGCGAAAACUUUACAAUGCGGGAAACCGUGAUAAGGGGACACCGAGUGCCAGCAUCAUAUGCUGGCUGUCCAGGUGUGUAAAAUACACCUGUUAGCAAGGGCCGGGCAAGACCGGUGCCAGCCGCCGCGGUAACACCGGCGGCCCGAGUGGUGAUCGUGAUUAUUGGGUCUAAAGGGUCCGUAGCCGGUUUGGUCAGUCCUCCGGGAAAUCUGACGGCUCAACCGUUAGGCUUUCGGGGGAUACUGCCAGGCUUGGAACCGGGAGAGGUAAGAGGUACUACAGGGGUAGGAGUGAAAUCUUGUAAUCCCUGUGGGACCACCUGUGGCGAAGGCGUCUUACCAGAACGGGUUCGACGGUGAGGGACGAAAGCUGGGGGCACGAACCGGAUUAGAUACCCGGGUAGUCCCAGCCGUAAACGAUGCUCGCUAGGUGUCAGGCAUGGCGCGACCGUGUCUGGUGCCGCAGGGAAGCCGUGAAGCGAGCCACCUGGGAAGUACGGCCGCAAGGCUGAAACUUAAAGGAUUGGCGGGGGAGCAC